RNAcentral lists this ribosomal RNA (759 nucleotides) under uncultured archaeon. RNAcentral's name for it is "bacterial SSU rRNA". It matches the Rfam family "Archaeal small subunit ribosomal RNA", at positions 102 to 859 of the family's 1478-position model. The record is from RNAcentral.
GGAUAACCUGCCCUUGGGUCCGGCAUAACCCCGGGAAACUGGGGAUAAUUCCGGAUAACGCACAUAUGCUGGAAUGCUUUAUGCGUAAAAUGGAUUCGUCUGCCCAAGGAUGGGUCUGCGGCCUAUCAGGUAGUAGUGGGUGUAAUGUACCUACUAGCCUACGACGGGUACGGGUUGUGAGAGCAAGAGCCCGGAGAUGGAUUCUGAGACAUGAAUCCAGGCCCUACGGGGCGCAGCAGGCGCGAAAACUUUACAAUGCGGGAAACCGUGAUAAGGGGACACCGAGUGCCAGCAUCCUAUGCUGGCUGUCCGGGUGUGUAAAAUACACCUGUUAGCAAGGGCCGGGCAAGACCGGUGCCAGCCGCCGCGGUAACACCGGCGGCCCGAGUGGUGAUCGUGAUUAUUGGGUCUAAAGGGUCCGUAGCCGGUUUGGUCAGUCCUCCGGGAAAUCUGACAGCUUAACUGUUAGGCUUUCGGAGGAUACUGCCAGACUUGGAACCGGGAGAGGUAAGAGGUACUACAGGGGUAGGAGUGAAAUCUUGUAAUCCCUGUGGGACCACCUGUGGCGAAGGCGUCUUACCAGAACGGGUUCGACGGUGAGGGACGAAAGCUGGGGGCACGAACCGGAUUAGAUACCCGGGUAGUCCCAGCCGUAAACGAUGCUCGCUAGGUGUCAGGCAUGGCGCGACCGUGUCUGGUGCCGCAGGGAAGCCGUGAAGCGAGCCACCUGGGAAGUACGGCCGCAAGGCUGAAACUUAA